UGCGUAGGCGGGCUAAUAAGUCAGUGGUGAAAUCUUUCGGCUCAACCGAGAAACUGCCAUUGAUACUGUUAGUCUUGAGUUCGGUUGAGGUAGGCGGAAUGUGUAAUGUAGCGGUGAAAUGCUUAGAUAUUACACAGAACACCAAUUGCGUAGGCAGCUUACUAGACCGACACUGACGCUGAGGCACGAAAGCGUGGGGAGCGAACAGGAUUAGAUACCUGGUAGUCC
This 228-nucleotide ribosomal RNA is filed under the name uncultured bacterium. Its description in RNAcentral is "partial 16S ribosomal RNA". It matches the Rfam family "Bacterial small subunit ribosomal RNA", at positions 568 to 796 of the family's 1533-position model. The record is from RNAcentral.